AAAACGGUCCUUUUUAGGACCACCAAUCAGAAUCCGCCAUUUAUAA
Acyrthosiphon pisum (pea aphid) is the source of this 46-nucleotide non-coding RNA. Lineage: Eukaryota; Metazoa; Arthropoda; Insecta; Hemiptera; Aphididae. The record is from Rfam.